Molecule: non-coding RNA, 70 nt
Organism: Salmo salar (Atlantic salmon)
Lineage: Eukaryota; Metazoa; Chordata; Actinopteri; Salmoniformes; Salmonidae
Source: Rfam
CGCCACAAACCCGUAGAUCCGAACUUGUGUUGUCUGGCCACACAAGCUUGUGUCUAUAGGUAUGUGUCUG